Molecule: ribosomal RNA, 230 nt
Filed under: uncultured bacterium
Lineage: Bacteria
Description: partial 16S ribosomal RNA
Rfam family: Bacterial small subunit ribosomal RNA
Source: RNAcentral
GAUCCUGGCUCAGGACGAACGCUGGCGGCGUGCUUAACACAUGCAAGUUGAACGAGAAUCUGUGGAAAGAGGAUUCGUCCAAUUGAAGCAGAGGACAGUGGCGGACGGGUGAGUAACGCGUGAGGAACCUGCCUUUCAGAGGGGGACAACAGUUGGAAACGACUGCUAAUACCGCAUGACACAUCGGAGUCGCAUGGCUCUGAUGUCAAAGAUUUAUCGCUGAAAGACGG